RNAcentral lists this ribosomal RNA (253 nucleotides) under uncultured bacterium. RNAcentral's name for it is "partial 16S ribosomal RNA". It matches the Rfam family "Bacterial small subunit ribosomal RNA", at positions 524 to 776 of the family's 1533-position model. The record is from RNAcentral.
UACAGGGGGGGCAAGCGUUGUUCGGAAUUACUGGGCGUAAAGGGCGCGUAGGCGGCCAACUAAGUCACACGUGAAAUCCCCAGGCUUAACCUGGGAACUGCGUGUGAUACUGGAUGGCUUGAAUUCGGGAGAGGGAUGCGGAAUUCCAGGUGUAGCGGUGAAAUGCGUAGAUAUCUGGAGGAACACCGGUGGCGAAGGCGGCAUCCUGGACCGACAUUGACGCUGAGGCGCGAAAGCUAGGGGAGCAAACAGG